UUUUAAGCUUUAGCCUCUUUUUAACAUAUUUAAAAUUGCUCUUCGAAUCACUGAUUCAAAAUGAAAGGCAACAAACAUAUGGUAAUUAACUUAUAAUUGUUUUAAAAGUGUAUUCUUUUCAUUUGUUUUAGGAAAAAGCAGAAUAUGAAAAACAAUUAGAGCAGUUAAACAAGGAUAAUACAGCUUCACUAAAAAAGAAGGAACUCACACUUAAAGAUGUGGAAUGUAAAUUCUCCAAAAUGAAAACUGCUUAUGAAGAGGUUACAACUGAAUUAGAAGAAUAUAAGGAAGCCUUUGCAGUAACAUUGAAAGCUAACAAUUCCAUGUCAAAAAAAUUAACGAA
RNAcentral lists this small RNA (343 nucleotides) under Pongo abelii (Sumatran orangutan). RNAcentral's name for it is "processed transcript". The record is from RNAcentral. Lineage: Eukaryota; Metazoa; Chordata; Mammalia; Primates; Hominidae.